Molecule: ribosomal RNA, 531 nt
Filed under: uncultured Chrysochromulina
Lineage: Eukaryota; Haptophyta; Prymnesiales; Chrysochromulinaceae
Description: bacterial SSU rRNA
Rfam family: Bacterial small subunit ribosomal RNA
Source: RNAcentral
UUUAGUGGCGAACGGGUGCGCAAUACGUGAGAAUCUGCCCUUAGGAGAAGAAUAACUGCUGGAAACGGCUGCUAAAUCUUCAUAUGUCGAGAGAUGAAAUAGCUUAGGCUGCCUAAGGAUGAGCUCACGCCUGAUUAGCUAGUUGGUGAGGUAAUGGCUCACCAAGGCCACGAUCAGUAGCUGGUUUGAGAGAACGAUCAGCCACACUGGGACUGAGACACGGCCCAGACUCCUCCGGGAGGCAGCAGUGAGGAAUUUUCCGCAAUGGGCGAAAGCCUGACGGAGCAAUACCGCGUGAGGGAUGAAGGAUUUUGGUCUGUAAACCUCUUUUCUCAAGAAAGAAGUUCUGACGGUACUUGAGGAAUAAGCAUCGGCUAACUCCGUGCCAGCAGCCGCGGUAAUACGGGGGAUGCAAGCGUUAUCCGGAAUCAUUGGGCGUAAAGCGCCUGUAGGUUGUUUAAUAAGUCUGUUGUUAAAGACUAGGGCUUAACCCUAGAAAAGCAAUGGAAACUACUAGACUAGAGUAUGGCA